GAGAUAUUAGUUGUACUUACUGGAGCUCCUUUGUUUUGCAGAGAUCAUGAUGCAGCCGUCCUUUUGGAUUUCUUUUUAAUAAUGUGUGACCCUUCACCUUUGAUCCCCUGACCUGCAUUACCUUGGUAACCAUUUCAUUUUUUAAUUUAAUUUCAUUUUUAAUUUUGGUGUACAAGCUGUAACAUUUCAUCUCUCAAAGUGUAGCACGCUGAUUUCCUCAGAUAGAGAUACCCCUUUGAGCGAUAAAUUUGCAAAAUGCUGUCUUCAUUUUUUGUAUUAAAAUUCAUUUCAGUUUUAUAAAAUAAAAUGUAAUCUGUGUUUUCAUCCUUUUAAAAUUUAAGUUUAGUGAGUGCAUUCCCCCAUACAGGAUAGUUCCUCUUCUACCAGUGUUUUGCGGAAGCUGAAUUAAGUGACAUUCAUAUGUAAUGCACACCCCCCUUACCCCCACUCCACUGCCACUCCCUGUCAUUCCCCUGCUGUCACCACACAGCCCUGCCAUUGCAGGAUGAUGACUUGUCUUCCCUUCAGAAUAGUAGCAACUUGAAUUUUAGUCUUAGCAGCCAGGUUCUGCACCCUCAGGUUAUAUUUUGUAUUCUCAAAUAUUGUGGGGAGGGAAAGCUUAGAGUUUUAUUUUUAAUUUCAUUUAAGGGCUGGAAGAAUGUAAGCUAUUUUCAUUACCAGUGUUUGCCUUUCCCACCUCCUUUAAUGUUUUAUUUCUUUGAGACCUAAAUUAAGGAAAAGUCACAGUUUUAAUUUGACCAAAAAAUGUGGUUUUGUCUAUGCUGAAAUUUUAUCAGUGAGCUCUGCUGGUCCCUAUAUCAGAUUGAUUUUUGCCAUUUGUUCUUAUUUCAUGUUUGCUUUUCAAAUAAUGUAUUUUUAUUGUACUCUUCUUCUUUUCAGAAAAUUCUUAAAAGCAAAACAAACCAAAACCAAAAGUCAAACUUGAGUUAAUUCUUUGAACUGGCAAAAUACUCCAAGAAAUUGUAUUCUUAAAAAAAAAAAAAAAGCUGCGGACUCUCUUGCAUGGCCCAGUGAAGCACAGAUGAUUUUUUAAGUGUCUCAUUAUUUUAUUCUCUAACAUUUAAUGCUGAUGUUUUAAUUGCACACAGCUGAAGCUGCUAAAUGAGUACUGAAAUAGAUUUAAGUCCUCUCUGAGCUUUGUUGAUACCUAUAAAAGUUUAUAUCAUUCAUUAGAACCACAAAUUAAAAUUAGUUGUGGUGAGCUGUUCAUUGGAGAUUGGAACUCUCACGAACAUUUUAGCUCACAGACUUUGUUUUUGCCUGUUACACCUAUUUACCUGGAAAGCUGCUUUCGCCCUGUUGGGUAUCCUUUCUUUUCACAGAAUUGGAAAAAUAUCAGAGUUGAGGAAUACAAAUAGACAACUCAUCCUAUGAUUGUAAAGCCCCCAUGAUUAUAAGUGUUCCAGUGGUUGAGAGCAGCUUCCUUGCUGAACCUUGAAUUUUAAGGUGAUUUUUUUAUUAUAAUGUGUUCCACUGUUGUGCAGAGAAAUUUUCCAGAUCCAGAAACUUUUUUUUUUUGGCCUUAGGUACGUUGUUUAUUUGUUCUUUUGUUUAUUUGUUCUUCUAGCACCAAAGGGAUGGUGCCUGAAUCACAGUUCAUAGACUCACAGGGCUUUAGGGGACAGUGACUGCUUGUCAGCUCCACUCCUCUUCCUGAGGGAUGAGCUGGCCCAUGGUUCCCUGGGGAGUCACAAGUUCUCUGAUGACAGAGUCAGCUCUCUCUGUGGGCCCCCAUCUACUUGAGAGAGCCAGAUAACUUUAUUUAUAGCCUGUAGUAGGAGAUGAAGAGACAUUAAUAGGUGCAGAAAUAAUUUCUAUUGUCAUGUUUUAUUUUGUGAUUAAAUCAGUUAAAAAUUUUAAGGUUUUCUGAUUAAUACAUUUUAAGAGAACCUAAUUUUUCUAAGAGAGCUAGUACACAAAUACACUUAUUAUUUUCAAUGAACAUUAGUUAUAUGGUUAGUAUUUAGGACUUCUGGUAAGUUGUGAGGCACAUGAAUACUGUUUUUGUAAUCAUGAUUCACUGAGAAAACCCUUGUCUGAGAGUCAGAAAACUUGCUUUGGACUAGCAUCAAGGUCUUUGGACAUGUUACUGGUGUCUUUUGAGGUAGUUACCCCCAAACUAAAAUAUUCGAAGACAAAGAACUUGACACUUUAAUUUGGGAAUGAAUACUGUGAAAUCAGUUGUCUUGAUUGACCACAUAGGAGCUUGUAAAACAUUUCGUUGAUGCUGCUUCCAUUUUAUGUGUAUGUGAAAUGUAGACUGUGUGUCUCCUACUUGCCUUUUAGGGUUGUUGGGAGGAUAAAUGAAACACACACUGGGAACUCAGAAGAAAGGUGCUUUUGAAACUGAACCUCAUCCUAUGGCUGUGCCAAGAGGCAGUGGUAGUGAACCCCGUGGUGAAGGGCCAGGACCAUGGCUCUGGAGCCAGGCUGCCGUGGUUUGAAUCCCACCUUGGCCUCUUGCAAGCGGUCUGACUGCAGCACAUUACCUAACCUCCCUGUGCCUGAGUUUCCUCCUCUUUAACUUGAGGAUGAUAAUAGUAGCACCUACUCAAAGGAUCCUGGUGAGUUUUAGCUGAGCUGAUGUGUGCGGAAUCCUUAGAGCUGCGCUGGCGUGUAGCGAGCGAGGCCACACCUGCACACCAUGGGCAGGACAUAUACCUUGCACAAAAUGACAUUGCAGCCCCCCCAUCCCCCUGCCCACCAUUAGUCUUCUAACAUUGAUUUAGAAACCAUUGAAUGCUUAGAGAGGGGUACUGCAUAGUUGGUGAUAUUUAAGCACCUCUAGAUAGAAGUUCAGUGGGUAAAGUUAAAUUUGGCUUCCUAACCUUUUUGUAAAAAAAUUCAGCUCACUAGGAUCUGCCUGACACUCUGACUGUUCUUUUGUUUUAGCUGUUUUGGGUUAUGGAGGCAUAAGGGGAGAGGUGUGAGGGAGGGAGCUGCCUUUUGCCUAGUUAGCUUUCGUACCUCCACUCUGCUAAGUUGUCUAGCUGGCUUUCAAGGAGUUAGAGGGUUGAACUGUUGAGGGGCUUUUACUUGACCGUAUGAGGCUUUGGACUCCUCUUAAGUAGAUCGAAGGAUGGGACCCACAGUUGUCCCUGCAUGAGAGAGAAUAUAUGUUGCAUUGUUCCCAGUGCUUUCCAUACAUUUUAAUCAUCCAGAUUUAUCCAGGAGGUGAAUGGUGUGUUAACCCAGUUUUGCAUCUGAAAAUGCUGAGGUUUAGGUAGGGUAAAUACACUUUCCUAGGUGCACAUCCCUAGUAGACUGCACAGUUGCAGAACUGGCAUUUAAAUCCAGGUGCUGCUUACCUCCUGAUACUUGCUGCCUUGCAUUCACCUGCAAACCUGGUAGAACCUCUUAACAAGAGACUGUUCUGCUGUUUUCGUUGCAAGGACCUGAACUGCAUAUAUUAGUGUCCCUCAGCCAUUGGACCUUUUAAAUGAACAGCACCUCUAACUUAGUAAGAACUCAUAUGAUGGAGUAGCUGGCUCUAACAAUCUAUUACCACCAUUAUCAGGAAAGUUCCAUUAUAUAUGUGGCACUUGAUCCUGGUUGCACAUCUGGAAUCACUCGUGUAGUGUUUUGUUUAAAAUUUGAAGCACUAGUCCCAUCCGUGACUGAUUGUGGUCUAGCAGAGAACCAUUGAUCAACAGGUUCAGAUAUAUAGAAAGGUUUUUUUUUUUUUUUUGCCUAGUUACAUACAAACAAAAAUUGAUUUUCUGUACACGCACAGAUUUGUGCUUCUAGAAUAUGGACCAGUGCAAUUAGUUCUAUAGUUGGCUACAUUGUAGAUUAAAAUGGAUCUCUAGUUUAAUCAUUUAACCAACACUGAUCAGUACCCUUCCUGAAGGCAAGGUCCCAGCAUCUAUUCCCUAAAUGCAGUCGUGUGUGAGAACCCCGAACGUCCUGAGAGGUGGGCUCUCACUUAGUUACAGGGUGAACCAAGUAGAGGGCCCUGUUUGCUUUCUUCUCCCUUUCACCUGUCUUCUUUCUCUUUUAUGCAUCCAUUUUUCCUUUCUCUUCUCCUUCCCUUCUCCAUAGUUCUGUCCUCCCUCUUUUUCUCUUUCUUACAUUUAUCUGAUUUUGACAGUGUGACAAUCAUCAAGCUGUAAAGUACUUGAACUACUUCAUGUGCACAGCACAUAGUAGGUGUUCAAAUGAACUUUUUCUUAUUUUUCUUAGCAUCUGAUUUUCAAAGGAGUAGGCACUACCCCUCAUUAAGCCUGAACUUUGUUAGAUUUUGUUUGUGAUUGUCUAUCCUAACUUGGUUUAUCUUGUGAAUUUAGAUAGUUUAGUCUCACUGGUUCUGAUAAGUUGAGGAACUCCAGGGUUUAGUCACUGAGUAGUACAGAAGCUUAGGGAAUAGAACAGACUUAGAUUGUUUUAGAGGCUGCUUUUAUCAGGCUUCUAAUGUAUUUGCUUCUAGUAUAUUUUUAAGCCAGAGGAUCUGUGUUUGCCUCGUCAGACCCCCUUUGUUUGGUGAUGAGGAAGCUGCCAUGGAGAGGGAAAGGCCGUUGGACUUGCUGCUGCUACCUCCUCUGGUAGCAUUGUGUGUUGGGACAGAGAGCAGAGCAAACAAUAUGACAGCCUAGAGGUCUGCAGCUGACUGUUUGCCUCCAGAAAUGUUGGAGAAGUAGUCACAGUAAUCCUCCUUCUGCUUCCCCCUUUCACAGGAGAGGUGACCUAAGGGUGGGGCGAUUCUGAGGGGAGUGGCAGGCCUCCCCAGCGUGGAAGUCGGGAGGCUGUGUGUGCGGCCCUGCACCCCAGCAGGUUGGCCCAGGCGCCAGCUGGCUGCCUUAGGAGUUCCUUCUGAUGGCCUUUAGCCCUUCGAGGCUUUUCGGAGGCUGAGAAACGCGCGGUAAAGGUAUGGAAAGGUGUUUUUGUCAUUCUUCAGUGAAAAUCUGCCCUAACCAGAAAGGGAGUUUCUGCCUAGGCAGGAAACCAUUGAAAAAGCUCGUUUGUGUUAGUUGUGGUUAUUGUUUCCCCUGGAAACUGUGGCCGUGGUUACUGUGGUACUGUGUGACAAUCUGAGUGUUUAGACUAGAUUUCCUGUUUUCCACACACAUUUAUAAGUGGGUUCAGAAAUGUGCCUGUGAUGAACAUCACACAUACCUACUACAAAACUUGGAUGGUCAGCUUGGUGUGGUUUUGUGCACCUCUAAGCCCAGUGGCUCAGAAGGCUGAGGCAGGAAGAUUGCAAGUUUAAAGUCAGCCUCAGCAACUUAGGGAGACCCUGAGCACCUAAGUGAGUCCCUUUCUUAAAAUGUAAAGAGGGCUAGGGAUGUGGUGCUGUGUUUAAAUGCCCUGGGUUCAGUCCCCUGUACCCAAAACAAAAACAAACAAACAAAACACAACGGGUUUGACCUCCAGUCCUUUUUUCUCUUUGGUGCUGAUCCUUUUUCUUAUUUCUGCAUUUUUCCAAAGGAGAAACUAUAUGAUCUAACUUUUUGUGAUGGUGAGAGGAGGAUUGGUCUGGAGCGUUGAAGCUCUUGGUCAAGGUGUGGCUCUGGGUUUCCUUUUACCAGCUCUAGUUCACCUUACAUGCCUGGCACAAGUUCUUGUACAUAAUAGACACUCAGCAAACAUUAACUCUCUUUUCAUUUCUCAUUAGCACAGGUAAUUAAGAAUAGGAGCUGAUAGACUCCACAUAUCUGUGCAGAGAUAUAUCUGUAAUUAAAGUUUUAAUUAAAGAGACACCAGACCAGGCAGAUGGUUCUUAUCCUCAUAUCCUGUAAACCAAACAGCCGUGGCUUUUCGAUCUUGCAAACAAGCAAAGCUGAGAAGCUGCUUUCAUGGUGGGGCAUGGUAGUUUUAUUAACUAGCCAUGAUCUAUUUUGGUACUACUCUGUGUGAUGCCUGAUCCAGGGAUAAUCAUUGUAGUUUGAUAUGGAAAGACAAUACAUCAAAGUUAUGUCCCAACUGAAGCUUUCAAGCGUCAUCAAGGGCAUUGCCACAGCCCAGCUGGUGCAUCACAAGGCAUGUGGUUUUGUGCUAGAUCACAAAAGCUGACAAAGUAUUAUUUAGGAUCAUCCGCUAAAUACAGUAUUAAAUUAAAGCACCAUAAUCCUGAUUUUUCAGGUUUUGCCACUGUAUAGCAAUGCAGAAUUGAGUUGUGCCUGUUUGCCUCAUGCUGGUUCUCUUCUAUGUCACAGUGACCUUAUUGGCUAAUCAGGCGCAGAAUUUAAGAAAUAAAACAACUGCAGGGGCUAACUAACAGAAAAGGACUUAUCUCAGAUCUUAUCACUUUUUAGGCCCUUCCAGUGAACCCCAGCCAUUUAUUCUAUUGCAUCCCUGUUGGCAGGAGCCAGAGCAGUGCAGGGAAGUGGGCAGCUCACCUUGACCUCUUGGAUUUUACCCUCUUCUUUACCCGAAGUUUCAUAACCUUUCCUUGUAAUUUUUAAUGCAGCUAGCUGCAUGGUUUUCAGGCCUUCCAUGCAAGAGGCAGUUCUAUAACAGAAUUGCAUGCUGGUUGAUGUAGGUGUGUUUCUACCACCAGCAUCCCAGUUUAUUUUGUUAGGUAGAACCAGUACUGAAGAUGUUGAUUUCUUAUUGCACAAUGGAACAGUUUAGUGUAGAGAUUAGGAGCAUGGUUUCUGCUUUGCUGAACAGUGCUGCUUUCAUAGGAGGUGCAGUUUUUGUGUGAUAGAGUCCACAGUACACUGGGAAGUACACUGGAACUUUCACAUCACAGACCAGUCAUCAAGUGAUAGAACCUAGAAGUGUUUUAACUUACCUUAAUACCAUCUAUAAAUCAAGGUCCAUCUGUCCUAGCUGAAAUGUGUGUGCAUAGGCACAAGGAGAUGGGCCAGAACCAUGAGAUGUGCAUGUGCUUUGAGUGGAGCCUGUGUCUCAUGGGUAGCUGGAAAUGUGUCUACCACCUUCUGUCUCAGGGAAGGAUGUUUUUUGGUUUUAAAAGAGGUCAGUUCAUUGUAAGCUGCUUUGAUUAAAUAGUCUUUUGUUAUUGUAUCCAGAAAAUACCAUAGGAUCUAUGCAGAAAUGUAUUACUGAGUAUUAAGUUGGUAUUUUACAUAUGGAAUUUGAACCUGACCAAUUACAAAGUUUGUUUCUUUUCUAAUGUGGUUCAAGACCUGAACAUGUAACUUUGGAGUAGACAACACAAUUUUAGAUUGUAGGAGGUUUCCUAUGAAGUUAAACUCUUGCUGCAUAGAGAGCAGUAGUUAUGCCGCUUUGCUGUGUAGGAAUCAGACUUCCACAAAGAGGAGAAGCACCAACAAACCCACCUUACUUUUCUUUCUGUAGUGGGUUUAGAAAAAAUGUGCACCCCCACCCCAUGCUGGGGAUUGAACCCAGGCCUUUACCAUGUUGGGCAAAUACUGUGCUACAGAGCUACAUCCAUAGCCCUGGAAAAUCUGUAUUUUACCACAUAAUCGUCACCACUGCAUUAAUGCAGAUUCACUAAUACUCCAUGCAUAUCCUAAUCUUGAACCAGUGACAGUUUAGUAAUAAACGCAUUUUAAGUAAUACUGGCACAGUAUUUUUUUUUCUCUUUUAAAGCUUUAAAUAAUGGUCACGCUCAACUUUUUGCCAAAAAAGAAAAAGAAAUAAAAGGCAUAAAAUCUGCAAUGAUUAUGUGAUGAAAUGCAUAUAUUUUUGCCCUUUCUAGUUGUGUGAUGAUGGGAGUAGAGUGUUCUGCCCACUCCAGAGUGACUUACCACCAAAUAUUUCUUUCUUUCUUUUUUUUUUUUUAAUGGCGGUACUGGGGAUUGAACUCAGGGCCUCACACAGCUAGGCAAGUGCUCUGCCACUGAGAUAUGUCCCAAGCCCUUUUUCAUUUUUUUAAAAAUUUUUAAUUUUAAAUGUUGUUUUAUUAAUACAUUCGAGUUAUUCAUAAUAGUGGGGUUCAUUUUGACGUAUUCACACAUGCAUAUAACAUAAUUUGCUCCAUUUCAAUCCCUAGUAUUUUCCCCUAACCCUCGUCUCCUCCUUCCCCUUGAUUUCCUUCCUCUACUCUGUUGGUCUUUCUUCCAUUAAUUUAUUGUUUUUUUUUAAUUGGUGCAUUAUAGAUAUACAUAAAAGUAGAGUGGAAUUUUUGUGAUGUAUUUAUAAUGCACAUAACAUAUUUGAUCUUUUUUUUUUUUGCUGUUCCUCUCCUUUCCCAUCCCUACUUUUGCCCCUUUAUUCCCCUUUCUUUACUGUUCUGUUUUUAUAUCGCCCACUUCCCCACCCCCCUCUUGUUUUUAAAUUUCUCAUUUCUCCCUAAUUUCUGCAUAUGAGAAAACAUUGAAUCUUGAUUUUUUGAGUCUGUCUUAUUUCACGUAGCAUAAUGUUCUCCAGUUCCAUCCAUUUGUAAGUAAAUGACAUAAUUUCGUUCUUCUUUAUGGCUGAGUAACAUUCCAUUGCGCAUAUACACUACAUUUAAAAUUGUUGAUGGACCUUUAUUUUAUCUAUUUAUUUAUAUAUGGUGCUCAGAAUUGAACCCAGUCCCUCACACAUGCUAGGCAAGUGGUCUACCACUGAGCCACAACCCCAGACCCCUAUACGUCACAUUUUCUUGAUCCAUUUAUCUGUUGUUAGGCACCUGGACUGGGUUCAUUACUUGCUUAAUUUGGAUCAUGGUGCUAAAGACAACACCCAGCCCUUUAAAAAAUUUUUUUUUUAAAAACAGUUUCAAUGAGUUGCCUAUGCUGGCCUCUUAACUGGCCAUCAUCCUGUCUCGGAUUACAGGCAUGUCCAGCCACACCCAGCUUAUUUAUUUGUUCUUUAAAUAGUUAUUGAAUUCCUGGUAAAGGGCAGCAGUAAGCAAAAUUAUGCCAUUCCCCUCGAAAAGUUUAUUUUCUGGUUAGGGGAAAGGGCAAUAAACAAAAAAAGAGUAACAGUAAUUGAGAAUUUGUAUGAACCAGUCAUGUUGGUUAACUCUGUGUCCUCCUCAGAGCACUCUGUGCAGGUGAGUGCUGUUCUGCCCCUUUUGCAGCCUAGGGAGACACUACAGAGAUGUGGACUGGCCUCUGCCCCACCCAGUGGGCUCUGUGCUUUCACAUUCCAGGCUGCUUGACUCUCUAUUAAUAAACACUGCCUGAUCUGCUAAUUUCUAAAUAAUAAACACAUAUUAUUGUUAAUGAAUGUGAUGAAGAGCACACUCAUUAUCAAUAAUAUGUGUUUAUUGAUAAUAAUAAUAAUAAUAUCAAUAAAAGCCGCAAGGGAAGCCAUUUGGAGGGCUCCUGGAUGCCUGGGUGUAAGUGUUCGUUAGCAUCAUGACUUAAGUGGAUUCCCUCAUAAUGGGGGGUGAAGGAAGGUCACAUCAUGAGCCACAUAGCUAUCCAUCCAGAGGGAGGGUAUUCCAAGUCAAGGGAACAGAAAAAGCAAAGGCCCCAAGGUUGAUGUAGCUUUGUCAAAGGUGGAAGAGAAGCCAGGAAGCCAGGUGGGAACUGUCCCUGUCUCUAGGAGGGUGGGGAGGGGAGCAGCCAGGAGCAGCAUCCCUGGGGGCCUUGCAGGUCAGGGUAAGGCCUUUGAUUUUACUGAAGAGAGGGGAAAUGGUCCAAGAAUUUUUGAGCAGAAAAAAACAUGAUAAAAAGGAUCCCUCUGAAUGUAGGGCAGAGUCUAGGGCACGGUCCACAGACAACUGCCCGCUGGCCAGAUUGCUGCCCGCUUCGGUGUAGCCAGCAAGCUAAGAGUGCUGUGUACAUUUGUGAAUGGUUGGGAAAAAAUGAAUAAUAAUAUUUGGUGUCCCAGGAAAAGUAUGUGAAACUCAAAUUUUUGUGUCCAUUUUCAUUUUAGUGUUAUUGGAAUUGAGCCGCCCUUGUUACUUUGUGUAUGUCCAAAGCUGCCUUUGAGCAGCCUUAGCUGAACUGAGUCCUUUUAACAGACCACAUGGCCUGCCUCUGGCCCUUUUCAGAAAAAGUUACUGUUCCCUGUCUUGGGGGGAUGGAGUGGAAACAGAGGAGACCAGAGUAGACAUGGCAGAAGUGAAUGGUGGUCUGAACAGGCAGUAAGAAGUGAACAGAUGCAGGACCUGUUUCACAGCAAAAGCAGAUGUACUUUGUUCACAUGGGAAGAUUCCGGGUGAUGUGUGAGUGCGGCACUGAGUUACUGGAGAGUGCACUUGCCCUUUUGGGGGUUGGGAAGACUGUGGGAGUGACAGGUUGGGGAGGAGGGUGAGCAAGAGGCCAGAGUUGUAUUUUGGAUAUGUUGGCUUUAUGGUGCCAAGUGGAGGUGUUGGGUGUCAGUCACUUGUGAGUCCAACUCUGAGGAGAGGCUGAGGCUCAAAGUAAGUAUUGGAGUGUUUUCACAUAUUGCAGGAAGGCUUCCAAGCUGUGGGAGGGUGGAAAUCCUGUAGGGAGCACACUUGGAGGGCAAGUCCAAACCUGGAACCCUGGGGUGCCCAGCAUUAAGGGUAAGGAAGCAGACAAUGAGAGGGAGCAGCCAGAGAGCGCACUUGAGCAGAUUGGGGUGUCCUGGAAGCACAGUAUGGUUCUCUGUGUCGCAUGCUGCUCAAGGUCAAGCAAGAUGCCAACUAAAGAUUCACCAUGAAUUUGGCAGUGUGGAAGUCACUCGUGGCUCUGAUAAGAGGUGCCUGAGUGACGUGGUGAGACAGGAACCUGAAACCAGCUGGGUUAAUGAAAAUGGGAGGACAGGCAGUAGAGCUGGUGUGUAGGAGACUGUCUCCUAAAGCCUGAUUGCAGGCCAGGAAGGGGCAAGAGUGGGAUUUAACCUGAGAUUAGGAUUUUGCUAGUUGAGGUCAGUGGAGGAAAGGGUGUGAGGGAACUGAGUAGGAGAGUCCAUAUGACAGUGGAGAGUCCAUAUGACAGUGGAUUGUGUAAUUGAUGCCAGGCAAGGAGCAGGAUGCAGGGAGGAGAUGAGGGACAGCAGGAGGUUGUGGGGGUCAGCAGAUUCAAGGAGUUGUUGGAUUUGGGGUGGUCAAGAGUCGUGUGCUUGAAAUUGUCAUCGUGGAGGGUGCAGUUGUGGUUACAUCUAGAUCUAAGGCAGUAUUGUUCAAAAGCAAUGUCAGGGGAGCCAUGUUUAACUUUCCAUGUUCCAAUAGCCGUAUUUUUAAAAAAGUAAGGAGAAAGAAACACGAUAAAUUUUAAUAUUUCAUUAUAUUUAACCGGUUACAUCUCAAAUAUGUGAACAUGUGAACUGUGUACAAAUUAUUGCAAUGUAUCAAUUUUUUUGUAAGUCUUUGCAAUUGGUGUGUAUUUUAUAUUUCUAGCACACCUUACUUUAGACUGGGCACAUUUCAGGUGCUCAGAGGUCACAAGUGGCUCAUGGCUGCCAUAUUGCAGAGCAUAGGUCUUGGGAAUCACUGUGGAGGAAGUACAGUCCAAGGUUAUUGGAGGGUGGGUUUAAGGAACAGAGAAGCCAAGGUUCAUGAAGGAUUAUGUGGAUCUAAGCCACUUGGGAUUCCUUACAGAGUGGGGCCGCAGGGGUUAGGAGGCUGAGUGCUUUAAUCUGCCACCCAUCAAGUGAGUCUCAGCAUCUGUGGGACUAUGAGGGACUGCUCUUGCCUCAUCUUAAGUCCAGAAAUCAUGGGUAUGGGGCAUGCUUUCAGACUCACAAUAAAAUAUCAGAAACAUGGGCUAUAAUAUUGAGAGGAUCUUUUCAAAAUAGCAGCUUCCAGUCAGGGUUCACUCUCAUUCAGAAGGCAUUUCUUUGAGCCACUAAUGAAGAUGUUACCCAUGUGAAGAACUCAUUCCAGCCCAUUUUUUUUUUCCUCAAGAAAAAAAUAUCCGUUAGAUUUUUGUCUUUUAUUUUGACAUAAAUCUUUAGAUGCUGAUCUUUAUUUUGGCAUAAUCCUCAAAUCCCUCAAAUUCUGUUUGUAAUACUUAGCUCAACAAUCUUAAACACGCUUGAAUCCCUGCAGAAGCCGACAUUUAGGAGUUUCAAGGCAGUCCACAUGAUACGCGGACAGCAGCAUGCAGCCUGGCUACCCUCUCUGCUCCUUUUGAUAGGGUACAUGUGGUAAUAUAUUUUAUAUAUACAUGCAUAUCUGUUUGUGUGUGUGUGUGUGUGUGUGUGUGUGUGUAUAAAUAUUGGCUUUGAUCCACAGUGAGUCUUUAAAGAUCAAUAAAAAUGGAUGAUGUCAGGAAGCUGUUUUUGGCCUUAUAGGCCAGGAAAAAGGAAAAUGUUUUGAAGGGGUAGACAGGAACACUUCCACAGCUCAGUUGCUAUCACUACUUUUCAUAUUUAAAGUUAACACAAGCUGCUCGUCUGAAUCCCAAUGGAAAAGGUGAAUGGAUAUUCCAGUUCUGUACCUUUAUCAAAUUCAGAUGUACCUUAGAUUCCUUUCAGUUUGUUUCCUGUAGUAUUAGGAUUAACAGCAGCAACAACAAAAAUCCUCCCAGCUCAGAUAUUUAGGAAGAAGAACCCAUUUUGAAUCUGUGUUUAUGUGCCCCCUGUUCUCAGAUGCUAUGUGUGUUGAAGGAGCAGUUGUUCAUUUUGUAGGUGCCAGUGUCAGGGAAUGAGGGAUCCAAGUGGUCCCAAGCACCUAGGCUUUGGUAAUCUCAGAGCAGUGUGAGAGUCUGCUGGGUCAGAACUGUCUUCCCUCUGGGUGUGGUGCCUCCUCUCUGCACUGUAGUGUUCCCUGAGAGCAAGCCCAGGAAACGCCACUUAGUAACGAGGAAAGCUUUCUCCUUAUGUGAGUUUUCUAAUUAAAAUGUUUUCCAUCUGAUGGGGAAGUGUGUGAAUAUCAAGAACUGGAAAUUAAGCAAGAAAUUAAAAGAACAUUAAUGGUUUCUUUGCAAUUUGUUUUGAGGUUUUCCUCACUAAGUGGUAUUUUGCUUACAAAGUCACCCUUUCACACAUAAAUCUUUAUGACAAAUGGACUGGAAUAUAUCCCAGCAAAAGAAGAGCUAUGGUGUCAUGUGUAAAUUAUAUCACACAUUGUGAAAGAGAACCCAAAGCAUUCACUUUUUAAAAAAGCAUUGUUAGUGCAGUUACUUAAUUGGUGUAUACAAAAUUAUAGUUUAUUUGAAAGUGAAGGUUGGUUUGUCUAGAGGACUGGAAGAAUAAGUGUUCUGACAUUUGUUCAUUGUUUGAAUUUACACUCCAGACACCAGAAUGCUCAAUAAAUCCAAAGUGUGAUUUACUGACUCUUUAAAAAGUUCACUGCUGAAACUUUAUCCAUCGCAACCAGUGUCCCUUCACCCCGAGGUAUGUUUGAUCUGCAGUAGGCAGGCACCUGCCCUUCCUGGUCCUUGGGCCUCAGGGAGUGCAUCGAAUGCCACACUGGCAGUUUUGUUUGUUUUGUUAUCUGGAUUUGUGUCUACUAGUAAAGUCUUCAUUAAGCUGCAGCUUCUACCUCUGGGUGGAGAAGUAGGUGGAAACAGGGAACUGUCAAACUCUGUAGCCCUUCCCGGCCUACCUCAAAGUGCCCCCACCCACAGCCUCUCACCUGCCUCUUCUCUCUCCUAGACCUCAGGGUACUGCAUGUUCUGUCUGCUGUGCUUUCAGUUUCCUUCUCUGGCCCAGCCCUUCCUCCCUACUUCCGUUUAUUCUGGUGGACAGCCUUUAGGGGCCAGCCCAGAUGCCACUUCUUCAUGCACCCUUUCUUGGGCUCCAUUCUGCAUAGUCCAUCCUUUGGUUCAUUCUUCUCCUUCCCAUAUCCCCUGUGAGGACUGUCGCCAUGAAAAUGUCAUGAUCUCUUUAUUGGUGUCUUUAAUCUACUAAAUCAGGAGCUCUUUGGGAGCAGGUGCUGGGCCUCCCUUAGAUUUCUGUUUCCCUAGAACCCAGCCCAGCACCUGCACAUGGUUGUGAGUGAAUGAAUUCGGGUGGAUGGGUGGGGGAGUGAUGGUGGGGUAAUGUACCUUCAAGUCAAAAAGGUAAACUUGAUUCCUGUUUUGGAGAAAGAGAAGAAUAAAUACUGUUUUUGUUUAUACAGGUCUUAAAAUUUUGGUAGCAGAGAGCAAAUGUGCAGAGAGCAAUGGAAAACAAGUCAGAAGCUGCUGUCUGAUUCCAGAGAAGGUCACAUUUUAUGCAAAAAGAAAAAAAGUAAUUUACAUUUGAUCACCUUGAGAUCUUCAAUUUGUCAUUGUGAUAUCUUAAGUAACUAAUGAUUAAGUGAAAUAAAUCUUGGGAAAAUAGAUCACAAAUGGAAUGAGGACUUUGCAUUGUAAGAAACCCACAACUCUUUUCUUUUCACAACAUGACCUUUUUAAAAAGUACCUUAUUGCAGGCUUGUGAAGGUGGCUGGCCUCUGAGCACUGGGCACAUGCCUGAAAGUGAUAGGCCUUUUUUAUUUACCUUGAUCCGCUGGAAUUAAACAGUCAUGCUUAUAUUCAGUUAGUUUGAGGUUUGGUUGGAAUUCAGUUCCAAAUUGGCGAAAGAAAUGAGCAUCCAGCCCCUCUUCCUCAUAUUGUCCAACUUGCCUUAUGAGACUCAUAUGCACAGUAUUCCCUGUUUAAACUGAAGUCACUCACUUGACUCUGUCCCUGCAGUAGUCCCUAAGGAAGGUAAACGAACAGAUAUCUUGAGACUUCCUUCUGCAUCAGUAGUUUUGAUAGUUUCAAGGCCACUGUGGAAUUCACCUGUAGUCUGUUAGGACCUUACCUUACUUAGGAACAUUAGUCCUUUUACUCACACACCCUCCAGUAUCCCUUUGGAAUGCUGUGUUUUUCUAACCCAUGAAACUGGUCUAGAAAGUACAGUAGCAAGUGCUGAGAAUUGAAGUCCACCUUCCUAGUGCUGUGCUUCACAAAUAGUCUCUAGCUGGGGGCCUCUCAGAGCAUGGUGUUCUGUUAUAUCAAUAUGUACUUAGACAUGCUAAUCUGAAUUAGAGAGCCGAUAUACAUAAUGACUCCCCUGGGAUGCUAUAUUAGAAAAAAAACAAAACAAAAACUGAAGUAGUUUGCUGAAUAUGCAUAGGAAGCUAAAAAAUAAAAUCCUUCUAAAAUGAGCGUUAAUUGAAUCUGGACCUUGAUCAUCUUUGAACCUCUAAUUUUUAAUUUGAUCCUUUAAAAAAGUUUUAUAGGUUCUUGAAGACAAAAUCUACAACUCAAUAAAAGUUAUGCUGUAGUGAUUGCCUAAAGACUGUACAAAGCCCAAUUUUGAGGUAUUGUUGCUCCAUGUAUACACAGCAUGUGUGGGGUAGAUGUAUAUAUAUGUACAUGUUCAUGCAUACACAUACCAACUAUAUGUGCUUAAUCUAUGCUGUAGUUUGCCUUUAUUCAGAUUCCCUCUAGAAAUGGGGCAAAUUUUCUUCAGUUAAAAACAGAAAUAGAAGCGCCGGCCUUGACCCAUUUUAUACCUGUUUAUUUCAGGCUCUCACCACACACUUGUUCAUGGGCACAGCAAGAAGAGGGAUCCACAGAGCUGGAGCCGUGAGGUCUGACACAUUGGGGUGAAGCUGGCAAAAUUCGUAGGGAGAGCUUUACCAUCCUGCCAGCUCCAUAUCUGGCCUCAAGACAGUUCUAUUAGUGAAUUAAUUGUACUCAAAACCUCGAAUUCAUUUGAACCGAAUGUUACUAAAAAUGAAAUAGAUCAAAGUGACCUCCUCUUGCCUCAUCCAGAGUGAUUGUGAAGGAGCCCAUGGCCUCAUUUAUCUCUGGAGAGCAGGUCUCCACCUGUGUGCCUCCUGGUCCUGGGGUUUUUCGUGCCCGUCCCUGAUGCUACUCUGCCCGCAGUCCCUCAGCAGGCUUCCAUUUCUUACUGGCACUUCACUCCCCUGGAAUCUCUUUAUGUUGAUUACUGUUUGUCUCCCACAAGAAUGGAAGCUCCAUGAGAGCAGGGUCUCUGUCUUGUUCCAUGUCCCAGUGCAUAGGACAGUGCCUGGCACAGUAGAGUUUCAAUAAACGCUAUUGAAUGAACUAGUGGGUCACUAGCCUUGUGUCCUUUCUCAAUCUUUCCCUUUUACUUGCUGUUUAUAUAUGACAUGCCUUUUAAAGUCAUAAAGCAGUGAAAAAUUGGGAUCAAGUGUAAAAAUUUUGUUGUGAUUGAAAUAACUGUUGACCUAGUUCAGGGUAGAACAGAAAACCCAGAGUGUAUGAGGACUUAAGAAUUACAACCUGUGUGUUAUGGUAUCCAUGCCUCCUGGAUCGAAGGUAUAGAUGGGUGGAAAUAGGAGUCAGCUCUCUGGAAUAUUGUAACAUUGACACCAGGGAGAGUUGGAAGAAACAAUUGAGGAAGGGGAUCAGGGAAGCAGAAAAUAGACAAAUACUGAAUGAUUUUCUUAAUAUUUAAUAAUUAAUAAAUGUUGGCAUCAAAUAAACAAGGUAAAUCAAAAUAUUUUCUAGAUCAAGUGGGCAUUAACAAAGAUACACAGGGAACUUGAGGUGAUGCCAGUCAUGUGCCACAUGACGAUGUCUGGUUGUCAGUGGACUGUGUGCACGACGGUGGUCCCAUAAGAUCACAUGGCAUCGCAACGUCAUUGUCAUCUCAGUUCAUGUAAGUACAAGUGGUGAUGUCCCCGUCCCAUGAUGACAGGAAUCACCAGUAUUGCAUUUCUCAGAAUUUGUGUUGGAGAGUGUGGCUGUGUUAAGAUGAUACUAACAUAAGUGCUUUUGUUCCAGAUGGCCUUCACGGAUGCCCUAGUCUCGUCCUCUUUACUCCUUGUGUAUUGACAUAGGCCAGAAACUGAUACUGUUCUUGUAAAUUUUUGAGAAGUUUUCUUUAUUAUUAUUUUUUAAAACAAAGAACAAAAACCAAGGAGACAGUAUUCUGUGAUGUAGGCUGUUAUCUCAAGGUGAGUUUAUUUGUAGCACUAACUUGUGAUAAAUUGUUUAAAGAACUAACACUUCUUUUCAGAUUGAGCAUAUUUUAUCUGUCAGAUUUUGUUUAUUUCAGCGUAAACUUGGGUUGUUAUACACUGUGAAGGAAUCAACUAAAGCAAGGACCAAGGUUCAAUUUAUGCUGGAAUUUUUUUUCAUGCAGAGAAUUGACCAAUAUUUCUGAUCAAAUCAGUAAAUAUGAUUCAGUUUCAUUAAAUAAAGUGUGAAAAGCAAAGGCCAGAUUUUUAUGUACCACAAAGCAAAAGAGAAAAGAAAACCCUCUUGGAGCGUGACGCAUUUUCAUUAGACUUAAAUGUUGAGUUAUUUUGAUUAUCUAAUCCUACCCUCCCAUGGAAGUGUAAGGAGUGUGAAUUCUGGGGUGAAGAUGUAAUCACAAGAAAUGGUUAGUGAGGCAGAACACACAAGUCUGUAUUUAUAGUUUUGUGGACAAAUUAAUCAUCAGCAGAGGAUACAAAUGCAAAAAAGAAUUCUCGAUUGCAUUCAAGAAGUGCAAGGCUGAACUUUCGAAACUAAGAAUUUUAAACCUUCUCAGGGAUGCGUUAUUAAGUAAGUUAAUGUGCUUGGAACAGGAACCUAGUAUGUAAUGAUCACUCAUAAAAUUUGCUGUUUAUUCUUAGAUGGAUUCUAGUACAGGAGAUGAAAGCAUGUUUUAACUGUGCUUAAUAAACUGUACUGUGGUUGGGUAUGGGCGAGUGUCCACUUCUAAUCGAAGCAAGUGCAGCUUCUUGAAGCAAAGCUCAUAGCAAAAACUCUUCCUCGUAUUUUUUUUUGUGUGUGUGUGUGCGCGUGCACACACAUGUAAAACAUGCUGGGGCAGGCUGUGCAGAUGAUGCUUCUGUGGCAAGAGCUACAGCAGCUGCUGCUCCACUUUCGGUUUCAUUCUCAAGAGUUGUUCUGAUUAAUCUGAAGUUUUGAUUAACUUAUGUUUUUCAUAUAUCCUGCAGCUGCAUGUGUGUACCUUUAAGUUUUGUGGAAUUAAAUAAAAAUUUAUGACCAGUGACUCUUUAAAGCCACUGUCAAAGUUGCAUACAAAACACUUCAUAGGUUUGAAGUCUAGUUUUCAUUGAGCAUUCCUGCCGUUUAAAGUAUGUGACAUAAGCUUUUAAAGAGCGAUUCCAUGAGUUAGUGCCCUCUGGUGGCACACAGAGGACAUCAAGCACAGAGGGACUGUGACCCAAGAACCUUCAGAUAGCUCUUCUAAAUUAGACUGCUUUUUUGUUAGUUCUUUCUGGUAGUUUUUCCUUUGGGUGGAGUUUGAAAGUCCCCUGGUAGUUGGUUGAUGCCUGCCUGUCAUCAUAUCUUUUUUUUUGUGUUUGGUGCUUAUCAGUUUCUUACUCUGCUAAACUCUGGUCCUGGGGUUGACUUGCUAGCAACCCAGCGAUGUUAGCAGUGUAGGUUGUGAAUAGAAAUCCAGGUGAGGGGGUUUUUGGGUGGGUUUGCUGUAAAAAGGUACAUGCCAGCAUUCAGAUUUCCCAGAACCAGAGCAUCCAUUUUUAGAUGCAUCUCUUAUCUCCCUUUUAAAAGGGAGACCAUGUCACUUCCUGGAUUAAGGAGGGAGCCUUUCUGAUGGCCUUGGGGUGACUAGGACACAGCUUGAGAUGAGCCCAUUGGAGGACUGGUCUUUGGUGGUACUCACUUACCAUUUUGGCCUUCCUGGGGCCCAUCUUUCCCACAGAGGCCUUUGACAGAGGUCAUGCAGGCCAGGAACUGAAUCCUCCCUCCACCACUGAGAAGUUGUGGGGCCCUGGGGCAGUUACUGUGUCUUGUGUGGGUCUCUUUAGCUGUGAAAUAGGGGUGACUUUUAACCUGUGUUUCAAAUUGAUGUGAAGAGACACCCGUGAGGGUGAGGUGAGAUGCUGUGUGUUUAAGAACUCUUUGUGGACCUUUGCCAACUGCUGCUGAGGAUGUUUCCUUCUCUCUCUCUCUCUCUUUUUUUAAAAUAUAUUUUUAGUUGUAGAUAGACACAAUAUCUUUUUUUUUAAUUUUUUUAAUGGUGCUGCUGAUCAAACCCAGUGCCUCACGCAUGGGAGACGAGCGCUCUACCACUGAGCUACAACCCAGCCCCAUUUUCCUUCUCUUCUUUAAAGGCAAGUACUCUGCCCUUUUUAAACUUAAAAGGUCAUUUAAAACAAACAAACUUUAUUUUGGAUCAACUUCAUUUUACAGCAAAGUUACAGAGACGGUAUGGAGUGUUCAUACAUCCUUGCCUCAUUUCUCCUGCAGGCCCCACUUUUAUCCUGUUGAGUUUUCCUGAUAGUUUUCUCUGAGAGCUCUGUGAAGUUGGGUCACAUCUGGUUCAAGUGCCAGCUAACACCUUGCUGAGACAGAGCUGUUUGCUUUGAAUCCUUGGUGUCCACUGGUGAUGUGGUGUUUGCUUCCUUUUACCUUGCUUGUGUCUGUGACCAUUUGACAUUAGGACAGUCUUGUGUGAUUUUCCAGGAUCUUAAUGCCUAAGUAUUUCCCCUUCUGUGCAGUUAAUGAGCUGUGCAACCUAAGGAAAGAUGGGUAAUCAGUUUCCAUCAGUAUUUCAGCUGGGCAUUUUUGCAGUCUCAUAGCUACUUGUCACAUAGCUGCGAGGUGAAGGCAAAAGCACAUGGAUCUUCAAAAAUGAAUAAACAACAGAAUUAUCUGUAGAAAUGGGAAACUUACCUCCCAAUUAAAAGUCCAUUAGCUAGUUUUAAUGCAUAAAUAAUCUGUAAUUAGCAUUAUUAAAUGAAAAAAAAUACUUGAGACACUCAAUAUUUUACAUGUUUUAGCAACCUAAGAAAAUGUCACAACUUCUUGACAAGGUUUCUUGACAGUCCUGGGAGGAUAGACAGGGAGAGCUCAGUCCCUUUUCAUGAAUGCAGGUGAAGUAAGGGAGGCCAAGGGGUGACCUGAUCGGGGCCACACAGCAAGUUAAGUGAGUCAUCCUCCAAACACAGCCUGAGCAUGUUCAGCCCAUGCCUCCCCACAGCACUCCUGCAACUGUGGAGUGUUGGGAAGGCUGUUGGUCCACACUUAGUUCACUAAGCUCAAUUUUAGUGAUAUUACUUAAGCUAUUAAUUAAUAUGUAUAGUAAUGCUUUAAUACCUCAUAGACAAUUUCCAUUUUUUUUUUUUUUAGGACUUUACUGAAAUCAGCAUUGUUGGUCCUGAGUUAACAGAAUCUAAUUGUUCUGUGCAGAACUUCAGAGGAAACCUGUGUUUUAUAUUCACUUUUUUUUUUGUGUGUGUGUGUGUGUGUGUGUGGCUGUGACCAAAAGACCUGAUAAGAACAACAUAGAGAAGAGAAAGUUUAUUUAGGGCUCAUGGUUUUGGAGGUCUCAGUCCAUAGAUGGCCAACUCUGUAGCUCUGGGUUCCAGGUGAGGUGACCAUCAUGGCGGAAGGGUGUGUCAGAAGAAAGUAGCUCAGGAUAUGGCAACAAGGAAAUAGUUCCACUAUUUAAACCCCAAAGGCACACCCCAUCUGCCUAUGUAUAGUCCCUGUCCGUUUGAUCCAUGUCAGUGGAUUAAUGAACUGCUUAGAUUAAGGCUCUCAUAACCCAAUUGUUUUACCUCUGAACUUUCUUGCAUUGUCUCACAUGUGCUUUUUUUUUUUUUCGUACCAGGGAUUAUUGAACCCUGGGGUGCUUAAUCACUGAGCCACAUCCCCAGCCCUUUUUAUGUUUUAUUAAGAUAGGGUCCCACUAAGUUGCUUAGUGUCUCCCUAAGUUGCUGAGGCUGGCUUUGAACUUGUCAUCCUUCUGUCUUAGCCUUCUGAGCUUCUGGGAUUAUGUGCCACCAUACCCCGCUCACACAUGAACUUUUGGGGGAUACCUCGUAUCUAAACCAUAACACCGUGGGUUGGCUACUGUUGGUUCGUCUCAAGCUCUGCACUGUGGCAACAUUGCCACAAGCUCUGGGAUGACUGUAGUCUCUUCCGGGAGGCUGCAUCUUGUCUGUGACCUUUGGGUUACAUAUUGUGCUGGAGAUAAACCUUGACAGCACAGACGUGUGUGACAUAUUUUUUUACAAGAGCUACUGAAAUGUUUGAAUGAGAAGAUGAUGUCAUUUGAAAAAGUGAUAAAUGGGCCAAAUUCUUGAGAAGCUAGCAGAACAUCUUACUGAAACCUUGAGAUCUGCUCAGAAAAUGGGAAUGAGUCUUUUAAGUUUUUUUUUUUUUUGCAAAUAUGAUGGAGGUGUCAGUGCUUUUAUAUGAAUUGUGGUACCUCUUUCUAUGGUACAGAAAUUUUGUUGUCGUGUGCCUUAGUCUUUGUUUUGUUUUUGGUUAGGCAUCUCAGCUCAGAGCGGCCCCUGUGCUGGUGACUGUAGUGGCAGCAGGUCUCAGGCCUUGUUCACUGCUUGGUGGGUGGGUUUUUUGUUCUGUUUUUAAUCAGUAACUUAGAACAAACCUAAGCCAAAGUCAAAUCUGUGAAUAAAGAUACGUUUUAAUCUUCUGAAGUCCUAAAGCCUCAUUAAAGAGCCUGAAGAGGCUGUAUCUAUCUUUUUUUCUGGUAGGCUGUGGAGGGAUCCAGAUAUCUGCCUGUUUUAGCCAGGCAUCUUUGAAUUGUGGCGCAGCAGCCAGGCAGCUUUAGGUGUCACCUGAUAACUCUUUGCAGUUGGUUGGUUUGCCCUCAGGUGUGUUGCUUUGGGUCCUUAGGGAACAAGUGGGGCAGUCGGGCUGGAAUGAGAGGGCAGCCACUCAUAGAAGUGUUCCCUGUGGGGACAUUUUCAGAAUUCGUAGUGAAGAUUUUAGCUUCUUGUGUGCAUUUUGGGGCAGUUGUUCAUUACAGUAGGCUUGCAUUGCACCAGGGGGACACACAUGGGACCAAGAAAGUGACAGGCUGCAGUUCUUGGCUUUCUUUGCUAUGGGUCACUGGAGAGACUCAACACUUUCCUUUCCUUUAGCCCUGGGCUCCUGUAAUCUGUGGUGCUAAGCCUGAGAGAGGGGUGCUUUGGAUUAAUUUGUAGCUUACAGCGUCUUUUAUUUUUUUGGUACUGGUGAUUGAAUCCAGGGGUGCAUUACUGCUGAGUUACAUGCCCUGCUCUUUAAGACAGGGUCUCACUAACUUCCUUAAGGCCUUGCUAAGUAGCUGAGGCUGGCCUUGAACUUGAAAUCCUACUGUCUCAGCCUCCCAAAUUGCUGGGAUUACAGGUGUGCACCACUGCACCAGGCUGUAGUUUACAGACUCUUGACGGGAAAAUAGGUUUAAGAUUUCGGUUGUAUAAUUUAUAUAAAUGAUGGAAAGCAUCAAGCACAUUCCCUGCAUGCAUAGUCGAGCCAGUUAUACAGAUAUAUAUUUAAAUUUUUCUUUUAGCCAUGGAUGGGCACUUUCCAUCUUAUAUUUUUUUUCCUUUCCUUUAACCACCAGAGAGAUUGACACUGAAGAAUGACAUGGGAUCCAGUAUGUAAAUGUAGAAAGUGGAGAUCGGCGCUUUAGGUGCUUUGUGAUGAGUGCAAUUAAGUAAAUGGAGAAGUGCACAGUUGUUGAUUUGAAGGCUGGUUAUAACAUUCUAAAACCACCUGGCUGCCUUGCACUGAAACAGGCCUUUGGAGUAGGUUUUGUGUUUUAAGUUCAGUUUUGAGAAUCAGCCAUUUACUGUGAAAGCAAAGUUACUGGGAAGUUUGUUUUAAAGAUGCUGCCACCCUCUAUUUCUGUGAACCCAGUAAAAAUAGCACAGAAUAAAAUUUAAUUAUGCUGUGCUGAAUAUUUCAUGUGGAAUUAAGGGGCAAAAGCUGCCUUUAAAAAGCAUUAGGUUUGGAAAGAAUAAAGGCUUUGUAGGUUCUUUGGAAGAUACUAUAAUUAAAAGAUUUGUUCAAAUGUAUUUUUCCCUUUUUUGAAGAGUUUAAAGAAAUCCAUCCCUCCCUUCCUAAAUUGAUUACCUCUCAAACAACAGCCCUGCUUGGCAGUAAAUACGGUGAAGCUGCCUCUGUGCUGAUUUGACAGCUUUUUUCUGUUAAGUGUAAAAUAGUUUUUUAAUCUUCUGAUUUAGAUGUUUAAUAGAAAGUAAAUGUUUGACUUGCUUUGGUUUCUGCUGAACCUGUAUUUAAAUCCACACAAACAGUUUGAAUAAAGUGAAAACAUCACUGGACUAGCUAUUUUAAACAUUUCAGGAUAUAAGAAUGCUAAAUGGGGUUCCCUUUUAAAAAUAGAAAUGGCUGCUUGCAUUUGCAUAAUUACUGCUAACUAGCACAACAUUUUAAAUGGUGACAAACUCAGGGUAGAAAAUGUAGCUGUUUUAAAAACCUUGGUAAAAGGAAGCCGGAACUGUUCUGUGAGCAGCUGCUUUGGAUGGAGGGUCUUUGCAAAGGCAGGAAACAGGCUUUACAGUUGGAGGGGUGGUAUCAGGGAGGAGAGGUGAGCAGCACGGUGGCUUCUGAUAGCUCUGAGCUGGUGUGUGGGCCAGAACUUACCAGCCUUUCAUUUUGAUACAUGAGUCUUAAGUAUUGACUCUUAAAUCUGCCUUGCUGUUUUGGACUGGGUGCAAGUGUUCUGUGCCAAUGUUGGAAGGCGUCUGGUGAGGACUGAGGGUCAGUGUUGGUGAGAAGAGCAUGGGAGGAUAUUUGUGAAAAUGAAAACGAAGAGUAGGGUUGUCUUCACAAGCUCAUCCUGAGUAUCCUCUGGAGUAUCCUUGAUUCUGCCUUCUACCCUUCUCAGGCUUUGAAUCCAUAUGUAAGUUUUUUUUGUUCUCUUUCCACAGCAUCUGACCUUCCACAUUUCCACCAGUGCCACCUCCUCCCAGCUGCUCUUGUGUUCUUCGCCUAGACAUCUGCCCCAUCUGUUCCCUAUGUCGAUGCCUACCUCCAGUUUUGCUUCCCUUCUGGGGUGGGAUCUCUCUUAAAAACGUAAACAGGAUUAGGUCUAGCUUGCUUCAACCCUGUGGGGACUUUCUAUCCCUUUGGAGUCCAGCAGCUUGCUCAUCACUCACUUCCCACCAUUUGCCGCUUUCUUCUCGGCACGCUGAUCCUUCCCGUACCACAUUGAGACUCAUCAAGCAUGUUUCUGCUGUGGUUAGUUUCCUCUACCAGGAAUGCUCUCCCUUCCCCUCUGCACCUAUGUGUGCUGGCUCCUUAGUGCCACUCAGGCUGACCUCACACGCCAUCUCCUCAGACAGACCUUCCCUGAGGACUCGGUCUCAUAUAGUGCCCGCCUACUCUCAUGCUGCAUGUGUUUUCUUCAUAGCAUUUGUAACUGUUGGAAAUCGUCUUUCUGUGUCUCCUCCCCACACCACCAACUCUCUCAGGGCAGGGACCUUGUCUGUCCCCAGCUGCGCUCCAGCAGCUGGGAUCAGAUGAGUGCGGAGGAGGGACCUGGAAGGCGAAGCUAGAGGGCACUCACCUGGUGGAGUCAUUUCUGGGAAGGGUGGUUCUGGAGUCUUUGUAAAUGUUUUUGGAAUUGUUUGGGAAACACUGUUCUAAAUCUUGCCUUUUAAGCUUUGAGAGUUGAAAUUGGGGUCUCAGUCAGUGUCUGUGCUUAAACAGGGUCCCAAGAAGUUGGGCAAGUGGUUCUUGCUGCACCUCAGCUGAGAUGGAAGGUUCUGUACCCAGGUUCUUAUCCACAGCAGGAGCUUACUGGGUGCUUGCCUCCCUGCUGGAGGGAGUGGGGCCGGGGUACGGAGACCACUGUCUUGCUUUGCCAAAGACUGAAUUUGAACUCACACUCAGCUUGAGAAGCCAGAUGGCGUUUUCUGUGACUUCCUGUGGCAUCUUUCCUGUGAGCACGACAGAGAUGCUUCCCGAGUUCAGUGGUCAUUCUGGGGUCAGGUAACAAAAAAGAGAGGAUUUGGGCUGGGGUUGUAGCUCAGCGGUAGCACACUCGCCUAGUACGUGUGAGGCCCUGGGUUCGAUCCUCAGCACCGCAUAAAAAUAAAUAAAAAAAAUAAAGGUAUUGUGUACAACUAAAAAUAAAUAUUUAAAAAAAAUAGUAUUUCAUGAAAAUUAGAAAGGAGACCAGUAGAGUAGAAAAGUGGGAGGGAGGUUAUAGGUAAUGAAAUUGACCAAAUUAUGUAUGCAUUUGUGAAUUCUAACAACAAAUUCCAUUAAUGUGCAUAAUUAUAAUUCAUCAAGAAAAUUUUAAAAAGGUACAGAUAUUUGCAGAAACAUAAACUUUGGUGAUCAGCUUUUAGCUUCCUUGGUUUUCUCUGGGACAUCCAUGUUUUAGGAGGGAUAUGGAAGGCUGCCGAUACCUAGCAAGUUGUGAAGGUGCUCAGAAGUAGUUAGUUGAACCCUUUGUGUUCAUAUUCCUUAGGGAAGAAAAGAAUCACAUUUCCAGCUCACUGAAUCUCGUACAUUUUAUGCCACUCCCAACUGUCUGCUGAGGCAUUGACUUUAGUCUUGAAUGUGCUAGUUGGGGACUGGGUUGUAGAACUCAGGAGACCUGUCUGCUAAGCAAAAGCUCCCUUGUGUGACUUUCCAUUCUCACUGUUGUCUUUAGCAGGGCAUUAUUACAGUGGUUGGGUUGUACAGUGAAAACAGUGACUAAGUUAAUUUAUAGUGAAAUGGACCCUUUUUUAGAACUGGGACCUAAAAUCCUACUCUGGAGUGAUAGGAUUAGAGUUGCUUUUGAUUGAACAUCAGUUCAUUAGAUGAGGUUUAAGAGAAUUACCCCCUUGUGUUUGGAGCAUAAUGCCACCCAGGUGCAGGUAUCUUCACAACUCCAGGUCCCAUACCUGCCACAGGAAAUCAGACUGGAGUUGAAGGGAACAAACUGGGUACACACCGGCUGAGUCAAAAGCUCCAGGUCCUUUCAGGAUCACCAGGUGUGAAGUGGAGGAGGAUAGAUGGGACUGGAAAAGGGUCUAGUAUACAAGAAAUGGGCGACCUCAGCAGGUUGCCUUCCUAUGAUGGUAAGCUACUGUUUUUAAGGUCAGCUGGGGGUGGGGAGAAGAGCUGGAAUUACUUGCCAGUCAUUGAUGUCCUAUUUAGUGCGGGCUGACUGAGCCUGCCAGUACUUGAAGCCACUCUUACAGCUGACACUUUGAAAACCACCUACUCACACCACCAGGUUGCAUCGAUUUUCUGAUUUGACCCUCAGUUGAUUACAUUUGGAGUUAACAUAGUGGAUUGGUCAGGUGAAUGUUCUAAGUGUACAUACUGGCUGCUGGCAGCCAGCAAUCCUGGUGAGUUAUUCAAAGGGCAGUGACCUUCCCAACUGCAUUAUUAGAAAUUAGUGUAUACAGUACAUUUGACAUUGUGUUUGACACACAUUCCAUUUAUGUAGUUGUGAUGUAAAUGUUUAGGAAUCAUCACACUCUUGAGCCCCCUAGUCAAACCUAAAGAGGUGAGACUGGCAUGUCUACGUGGACAUAGUGGUUGCAUUUAACUGUCCUUGACUGUUAGUAAGGGAAAAGUACCCACUUAAUAUUGAUUAUUUCUCUUUUCCUAAGUGUAAAAGAGCUAAAAUAAUUUCCUGCCCACAAACAGCUUGGUUUUCUUUUUCUGUCUUAUCUUUCUGUGGCUAUUUGCAGAAGUUUCUGGCUAACGAAUAGUUUAUAAUUUUUCUCACUCUUACAAAUGCUUCAUUUAGUCAUAUCUGAAAAACUCCAUGAAUCUGAAUUUGUUACCUCGGGACAGUUGGGAUUCCAAUGGUUCAGUGUUGAUCUCCAGUUUCACAUUCCUUGUUUUGGUACCGUGGUUUGCCAAUUAAAUGUUUCUUAAAGUUGGUUGAGGAGCUUCAACAGUUGUUAAAAGUUUAACGUCUCCCAAUUUAGGGGAAAUUAAUUAUUACAUACAACUUAACAAGAUACAUCUGCUGCCUAUUCCUCAGGUUUAGUGAUGGAAGGAGAAGGUAAUAAAUUCUGUCUUCCAGGCCGACAGAUUUAAGUUCAUGAUGCGGUGAGGGACAGUGGAUAUGACCCAUCAGGAUGGUGCAAAUGGUUUCCAGGGGAUGUUCUGGAAAGGGUUUUCCCUGAGCCUUCUCUCAGAGGAGUUUCCUUUGUGUCCAACUGGCUGAGCCAGCUGGUCUAGCAGGCCUGAUUGCUGAAAGGACUCCGAGUCUCUCAUCAUGUCCAGACCUCUAAACAGGCCCCUGGUUGAUGUGGAUCCCUGGUUGGUUUUGUUUGGUUUUAUUUUUUUUAUCUUUUUUUGGGAGGGAGGGUGUACCAGGGAUUGAACUCUGAAGUGCUCAACCAUUGAUCUACAUCCCAUCCCAAGCCCUGUUUUAUAUUUUGUUUAGAGACAGGGUCUCUAUGAGUUGCUUAGUGUCUCGAUUUUGCUGAGGCUGGCUUUGAACUCAUGAUCCUCUUGCCUUAGCCUCCCAAGCCACUGGGAUUACAGGCGUGUACCACCAUGCCUGGCUGAAGUAUUUUUUUUUUUUGAUGUAGAAGUGGUUUUUACAUUUCAAACACUAGACACAGCACCAGGAUGCCCCUGUCUUUCAUCACCUUUGUGUGCCCUCAUGUCCAUGACAUGUGGAUCUUUGGGGGAAAUCAUGCAGGUACCCAGGUUUGGGCACUUCUCCAGAAUGGGGAAGGUUCGCAGCCCCUGAUGGCUCUGCACCAUCGUGGAGGUGUGCCCAGCCUGCUUAUCCAUCUUGAUGCACUGUGGAUGAUAAACAGUCAUCUCAGCCCUGUGGUGGCUGAGAGGCAGACUCCAGCCAGUGUGUGCUGGGUGAUGGUGUUUCCUGAUGGAUGGCACCUCUUCUGGGAAGCAGCUUAUUGUCUCACGUGAACAGCCUUUCUAGAAUAAAUGGCUGCUUUCGCAAUGUUUUGAAUCAUUUUCCUCAGCACAUGUUUUGUUGCUGUGGUUUGAAAGCUUGCCAAAUAUAUGCCUUUGCACAGCUCCCUGUAGGAUUGGAUCUACAAUCAGACCAAACAGUGUGAUUUAAGGUUGAACAUAAUUGGGAACUCAACAAUCACUUGCCUCAUAUUUGAUAGAAUGGCAGUGGAAUGCUUAAGAAUUAUUUCUCUGUUAAAAAAUUAUAUAUAUAAGACAUGUACACACUGAUAUAGUUUCACGGCCUCAUAAUAAAGAAGUUGUGUCUGAAGCCACUGGGCAAAAACAAUAGCAUGAUAAAUAAUUAUUUGACUUCUGUGACGGAGGCAGUAAUUAACUUCCAACGAGUCCUAGCAGUUGAUACCACAGAAUGUGAGUGAGGACCUUAGUCAAGUCAUAUAACAUUGGAGGAUGGAAAGCAAACGGUGGCAGAAAUACAUUUUAAACUCUGGUCUUUCAUCUGAUAAUAUGUCUUGUUUGUGAACUUAAGUAAUUGAGCCAAAAGCUUGGUGAAUUUGGUGUUGCCUCCCUGUUAAACAAAGGUCUUUGGUUUUACAUUUCAAAUACUACUGUGUGUUUGUCCAUGUUGGAGGGCUGGUUGCCAAUAACGGAGACCUUUCACGGGCCUCUGCUGGUGGGAAAAUGCUAUUAAUAGCCCACUCCCUGGAGCUCUUUAAAAGACAGUUAAGAGCUCUUUGAAAUCCAAAGUUCCUUCACAGUGUGGAGAGAGCGCACAGUACCACAAGCUAGUGUGUACCUGAGAAGAGAGGGUGGGGAGGGGCUGUGACACCCGCAUUUUCCCUUCCAGAUGUGCGGGUGGUCGCCUUGCUUGCAGCUGCCGCUGCUUGGGAAAAAGAAGUGGGGUGUUAGCAGGUGAUGAUGACCACCAGGCUCCUUGUUGAUGGUGUUCUUUUGCCAUCAGUGAAAUGCCUCUCUUCAUCUGUUGUAAGAGUGCUAAUCCAACAGGAAGAGAAAUAAAACACUUUUUAUUUUUAUUUUUAUUUUUUUAGUUUUAGGUGGACACAAUAUCUUUAUUUUACGUUUAUGUGGUGCUGAGGAUCGAACCCAGUGUCUUAUGCAUGCCAGGCGAGCGCUCCACCACUGAGCCACAACCCUAGCCCAGAAAUAAAACUCUUGAGGUCAAAAUCUUGCUAUUUUAGCUUAUACAGUUAGGGUGAAUUUUCUCCAAGGUUUUUUUUUUUUGGACUCUUGGACACUUUCUGAUCAUUGAAAAGCACCUACCUUUUGACAGUUAAAUGUAUCCAACUCAGAAUUUAACCUUUAUUUGUAAAAAUCAUGAUUAUGAAAACUCUAUUUAAACAAUCUAUGAGAAUAAGUGAAUUCAGCAAGGAUAUAAGAUAAAUCAGUUGUAUUCCUGUAUGUCAGCAAUCAACAAUCGGAAGAUGCAACUUACAAAUCAGUAUCAUUUGCUAUAGCUUAAAAAACAUUAAAUACCUUAAAAACUAAGAAAAUACUAUGUAAAGACCUAUACAAAGGUAGGUCUUUCACUAAGAGAAGCUUGAGAUCUAUAGAAGUGGAGGAUGUAUGUAUUAGAAGACUAAAUAUUGUCAAGAUGCCUGUUUUCCCUAAAUUGGUUUGUGAAUUCAGUGCCAUCCUAGUCAAAAUUUAGACAAGCUGAUUGUAAAGUUCAUAAGGAAAUGCAGAGGACCUAGGGGGAAAAAUCAAUUCUGAUAAAGAACAAAGCUAAAAGAUUGCACUGCUUGAUUUCAAGACUUCCUAUCAAGCUACAGUAAUCAAGACAGUGUGGUUUUGCACAGGGAUAGACAUAUAGGUGGAUCAAUGUGACAGAAUAGAGGAGUCCAGAAAUAGACCCACACAUAGGUAGAUGGCCAAUUGAUUUUUGACAAAGGUACAGAGGCCAUUCAAAAGAAAGGAUAGUCUUUUCAAUAAAUUGUAAUGGAACAACAGGAUAUCCAAAUGCAAAAAAAAAAAAGGUACCUUAUACUGUAUACAGAAACUAACUCAACUAACUCAAAGUAGAUUAUAGACCUAAGUUUAAAUUCUAAAAUCAUGAAACUUCUGGCUGGGGGCGGGGGGAGAAACCCACAGGAGAAAGUUUUUAUGACCUUAGGUUAGGAAAUGAUUUCUUAGAUAUGGCACCAAAAGCGCCAUCCUUAAGAGAAAAGAUGGAUGUCAGACUUCAUAAAAUUUAAUGAUUUAUUCUUUAGAAGAAAGUGUUACGGGCCUGGGAUUGUGGCUCAGUGGUGGAGCACUUGCCUAGCACGUGUGAGGCACAGGGUUCAAUCCUCAGCACCACAUAAAAAUAAAUAAAAGCAUUUUGUCCAUCUGCAGCUACAAAAAAACAAAAACAAACAAAAAAAAGAAGUGUUAACGAUAGUGAAAAGACAAGCCACAGACUGGAAGGAACCUUUGCAAAGCAUAUGUACACACAAACACACAGACACACACACAUAUACACACAUACAAAUUCUUAUAUCCAGAAAUAUAGGAAGAACUCUUAAAACUCAAUAAUAUGUAAAACCCAAUUUAAAAACAGGCAGAUUUAAAUAGACAUUUUAAGAUAUACAGAUGGCAACUAAGCACAUGAAAGAUGUUCAAUAUCAUUAGUCAUCAGAGAAAUGAAACUCAAACCACAGUGAAGUACAUAUUUACUAGAAUGUCUUCCAGCCAAAACAAAAAAUGGGAAAUGCUGUUAAUGCUGACUGCAGGGGCUGGGGUUGUGUCUCAGUGGCAGAGCACUUGCCUCGUACAUGUGAGGGACUGGGUUCGAUCCUAAGCACCACAUAAAAAUAAAUAAACAAAGAUAUUAAAAAAAAAAUACUGAGUACUGGUGAACCUGUGGAGCAAAUGAAACUUGCAUCUUGCUUGUAGGAAUGCAGAGUGGUGCAGCUACUUUGAAAUGAAGACUGACAGUUUCUUAUAAACUGCAUUUGAAAAACAGUCUAUUAAAUCUGUACUUCUAACAUGACCCUGCAGUCCCACUUUCUAGGUAUUACCCAGCUGAAUAAGUGCAUACAAAAAUUUGUAUGUGAAUGUUUACAGUGGCUCGGCUCAUGAUCUCCAGGAGCUGCAAACAACCCAGAUGUCAUUCAACUGGUGAAUGAAAAAGCACCUGCAUUGGGAUACUACUCAGCAGUAGAAAGGAACGAACCAGUACAGCAUGGGUGUAUCUCGAACACUCCAUGCACAGUGAAAAGAAAUCAGAAAAUACUGAAAAGUGUCUGCUUCCAUACAUAUGACAUUCUUCAAAAGGCCAAACCAAGAUGGAAAGAAAAUGGGUUGGUGGUUGCCAGGGCCUGGGGUGAGGAUGAGUUAACCAACAAAGGGCACAAGGAACUUUCUGGGGUUGGUGGAAAUGUUCUGUAUCUUGGUUGUGGUAGUGGGUACACAAAUGUAUGAAUUUUUGAAUGUGUGGAUCUAAGCAGUUUGAACAGGUGAUUCAAAAGAAGAUUCCAUAGAUGACAUGGAAGGUGGGGAGGUGCUCCACAUCUUCACUUGUCAGGGAACUGCAGAUUGAAACCACAGUGAGGUGCACUCUGUUAGAAAGUCUGAGAUGAGCAAGACUACCAGCAUUGAACAUCAACUAGACCUUGGCGCAGCGUAGCCCUCAUGGGCACCGGUGGAUAUUGAGUGGUGCAGCCUCUUUGGAGGACUGUUGUCCAUUUCCCCCCUAUAAUUAAACGUAAUCUAUGCUAUGAUCCAGCAAUCCUACUUUUAAUUUACCAUAGAGAAAUGAAAAUAUAUGUUCACAAAAUGACUUAUUAGAAUGUGUAUAUGAAGCCCCAAACUGGGAACAGCCCAAUGUCCAACAACUGAAAAGUUAAUAAAAAGAAUGAAUGACAAAUACAACUAUAUGGAUGGAGCUCAAAGAAGUACAUAUUGUGUGAGUGCAUUUAGGUAGAAUCCGGGAACAGACGAAACCAAUCCAUGGUGACUAACUGGUUUCUUGAGCAUACGGAGGUGAGUUGAGAGAAGCAAGGCAGUUUCUAUGGUGUGGUGGAAAUGCACUGAAUCCCAUUUUGGAUGGUAAUGCAUACACUUGUUAAAACUAUUGCCCAGAUUAAGAUCUG
RNAcentral lists this long non-coding RNA (31426 nucleotides) under Marmota monax (woodchuck). The record is from RNAcentral. Lineage: Eukaryota; Metazoa; Chordata; Mammalia; Rodentia; Sciuridae.